This 429-nucleotide ribosomal RNA is filed under the name Actinomycetes bacterium. Its description in RNAcentral is "Actinobacteria bacterium partial 16S ribosomal RNA". It matches the Rfam family "Bacterial small subunit ribosomal RNA", at positions 355 to 776 of the family's 1533-position model. The record is from RNAcentral. Lineage: Bacteria; Bacillati; Actinomycetota; Actinomycetes.
UAGGGAAUCUUCCGCAAUGGGCGAAAGCCUGACGGAGCAACGCCGCGUGAGUGAUGAAGGUCUUCGGAUCGUAAAACUCUGUUAUUAGGGAAGAACAAAUGUGUAAGUAACUAUGCACGUCUUGACGGUACCUAAUCAGAAAGCCACGGCUAACUACGUGCCAGCAGCCGCGGUAAUACGUAGGUGGCAAGCGUUAUCCGGAAUUAUUGGGCGUAAAGCGCGCGUAGGCGGUUUUUUGAGUCUGAUGUGAAAGCCCACGGCUCAACCGUGGAGGGUCAUUGGAAACUGGAAAACUUGAGUGCAGAAGAGGAAAGUGGAAUUCCAUGUGUAGCGGUGAAAUGCGCAGAGAUAUGGGGGAACACCAGUGGCGAAGGCGACUUUCUGGUCUGUAACUGACGCUGAUGUGCGAAAGCGUGGGGAUCAAACAGG